This 253-nucleotide unclassified non-coding RNA is filed under the name uncultured Actinomycetes bacterium. RNAcentral's name for it is "uncultured actinobacterium contains 16S-23S intergenic spacer region". It matches the Rfam family "Bacterial small subunit ribosomal RNA", at positions 524 to 776 of the family's 1533-position model. Lineage: Bacteria; Bacillati; Actinomycetota; Actinomycetes. The record is from RNAcentral.
AACGUAGGGGGCAAGCGUUGCCCGGAUUCACUGGGCGUAAAGCGGGUGUAGGCGGUCCGUUAAGUCGGGUGUGAAAUCCCAGGGCUUAACCCUGGAAUUGCAUCCGAUACUGGCGGACUUGAGGACGGUAGAGGCAGGUGGAAUUCCCGGUGUACCGGUGAAAUGGGCAGAUAUCGGGAGGAACACCAGUGGCGAAGGCGGCCUGCUGGGCCGAUCCUGACGCUGAGACCCGAAAGCCAGGGGAGCGAACCGG